UGGGGAAUAUUGCACAAUGGAGGGAACUCUGAUGCAGCGACGCCGCGUGAGUGAUGAAGGACUUCGUUUCGUAAAACUCUGUUCUAUGGGAAGAAAAGGACUGUACCAUAGGAGAAAGCUCCGGCUAAAUACGUGCCAGCAGCCGCGGUAAUACGUAUGGAGCGAGCGUUGUCCGGAAUUAUUGGGCGUAAAGGGUGCGCAGGCGGCUUUACAAGUUGGAUGUGAAAUAUUGUGGCUCAACCACAAACGUGCAUCCAAAACUGCAAAGCUUGAGUUAAGGAGAGAUAAGUGGAAUUCCUGGUGUAGCGGUGGAAUACGUAGAUAUCAGGAGGAAUACCGGUGGCGAAGGCGACUUACUGGACUUAAACUGACGCUCAGGCACGAAAGCGUGGGGAGCAAACAGG
This 404-nucleotide ribosomal RNA is filed under the name Fusobacteriota bacterium. Its description in RNAcentral is "Fusobacteria bacterium partial 16S ribosomal RNA". It matches the Rfam family "Bacterial small subunit ribosomal RNA", at positions 355 to 776 of the family's 1533-position model. The record is from RNAcentral. Lineage: Bacteria; Fusobacteriati; Fusobacteriota.